This 240-nucleotide ribosomal RNA is filed under the name uncultured bacterium. RNAcentral's name for it is "partial 16S ribosomal RNA". It matches the Rfam family "Bacterial small subunit ribosomal RNA", at positions 113 to 334 of the family's 1533-position model. The record is from RNAcentral.
CAACGUAAACAAACCUAGCCUUCAGGAUGGGGACAACAGACGGAAACGACUGCUAAUACCGAAUAAGUUCCAAGAGCCGCAUGGCCCAUGGAAGAAAAGGUGGCCUCUACCUGUAAGCUAUCGCCUGAAGAGGGGUUUGCGUCUGAUUAGCUGGUUGGAGGGGUAACGGCCCACCAAGGCGACGAUCAGUAGCCGGUCUGAGAGGAUGAACGGCCACACUGGAACUGAGACACGGUCCAG